UGCGUAGGCGGAUCUAUAAGUCAGUGGUGAAAUCCUACAGCUUAACUGUAGAACUGCCAUUGAUACUGUAGAUCUUGAGUACGGUUGAGGUGGGCGGAAUGUGUCAUGUAGCGGUGAAAUGCUUAGAUAUGACACAGAACACCAAUUGCGAAGGCAGCUCGCUAAACCGUAACUGACGCUGAGGCACGAAAGCGUGGGGAGCGAACAGGAUUAGAUACCCUGGUAGUC
Molecule: ribosomal RNA, 228 nt
Filed under: uncultured bacterium
Lineage: Bacteria
Description: partial 16S ribosomal RNA
Rfam family: Bacterial small subunit ribosomal RNA
Source: RNAcentral